This 241-nucleotide unclassified non-coding RNA is filed under the name plant metagenome. Its description in RNAcentral is "partial contains small subunit ribosomal RNA, internal transcribed spacer 1, and 5.8S ribosomal RNA". The record is from RNAcentral.
UUUCCGUAGGUGAACCUGCGGAAGGAUCAUUAAAGAGUAAGGGUCUUCGGACCCGAUCUCCAAACCUUUGUUUAACUACCAUGUUGCUUUGGCGGGCCCGUCUCACGACCGCCGGAAGUUUGGCUUCGACCGAACUUCUGGCCCGUGCCCGUCAGUGGCCCCUUCAACUUCUUGAUCAAGUAUGAUGUCUUAGUUAAAAACUUAAUAGUUAAAACUUUCAACAACGGAUCUCUUGGUUCUA